GAUGAACGCUAGCGGCAGGCUUAACACAUGCAAGUCGAGGGGCAGCAUAAAUAGUAGCAAUACUAUUGGUGGCGACCGGCGGACGGGUGCGUAACGCGUAUACAACCUUCCCUAAACAGGGGGAUAAUCUGGAGAAAUUCGGUCUAAUACCCCAUAACAUCAGAGCAGGCAUCUGUUUUGGUUAAAAUUUCCGGAGGCUGAGGAUGGGUAUGCGUAGGAUUAGCUAGUUGGUGAGGUAACGGCUCACCAAGGCGACGAUGCUGAGGGGGACUGAGAGGUUAACCCCCCACACUGGUACUGAGACACGGACCAGACUCCUACGGGAGGCAGCAGUGAGGAAUAUUGGUCAAUGGGCGGAAGCCUGAACCAGCCAUGCCGCGUGCAGGAUGACGGCUCUAUGAGUUGUAAACUGCUUUUGUACGAGGGUAAAGUGGGCUACGUGUAGCCUUUUGAAAGUAUCGUACGAAUAAGGAUCGGCUAACUCCGUGCCAGCCGCCGCAGUAA
Molecule: ribosomal RNA, 504 nt
Filed under: uncultured bacterium
Lineage: Bacteria
Description: partial 16S ribosomal RNA
Rfam family: Bacterial small subunit ribosomal RNA
Source: RNAcentral